GGGGAUGUAGCUCAGUUGGGAGAGCACUGCCCUUGCACGGCAGGUGUCGACGGUUCGAGUCCGUUCAUCUCCACCA
RNAcentral lists this transfer RNA (76 nucleotides) under Coriobacteriales bacterium. RNAcentral's name for it is "tRNA-Ala". It matches the Rfam family "tRNA". From Rfam's summary of the family: Transfer RNA (tRNA) molecules are approximately 80 nucleotides in length. Their secondary structure includes four short double-helical elements and three loops (D, anti-codon, and T loops). Lineage: Bacteria; Bacillati; Actinomycetota; Coriobacteriia; Coriobacteriales. The record is from RNAcentral.